UACGUAGGGGGCGAGCGUUGUCCGAAUUUAUUGGGCGUAAAGAGCUCGUAGGCGGUUUGGUAAGUUGGAUGUGAAAUCUCCAGGCUCAACUUGGAGGGGUCAUUCGAUACUGCCAUGACUAGAGUUCGGUAGGGGAGUGUGGAAUUCCUGGUGGAGCGGUGAAAUGCGCAGAUAUCAGGAGGAACACCCGUAGCGAAGGCGGCACUCUGGGCCGGAACUGACGCUGAGGAGCGAAAGCGUGGGGAGCGAACAGG
This 254-nucleotide ribosomal RNA is filed under the name uncultured bacterium. RNAcentral's name for it is "partial 16S ribosomal RNA". It matches the Rfam family "Bacterial small subunit ribosomal RNA", at positions 524 to 776 of the family's 1533-position model. The record is from RNAcentral.